Molecule: ribosomal RNA, 907 nt
Filed under: uncultured bacterium
Lineage: Bacteria
Description: bacterial SSU rRNA
Rfam family: Bacterial small subunit ribosomal RNA
Source: RNAcentral
ACGCUGGCGGCGUGCCUAAUACUUGCAAGUCGAACGCUGGAGAUCUAGCUUGCUAGAUCGAAGGAGUGGCGAACGGGUGAGUAAUACAUAAGCAACCUACCCACGAAGACUGGGAUAAUCUCUGGAAACGGGGACUAAUACCGGAUAGGUAAUCGGAAGGCAUCUUCUGGUUAUUAAAGGUUAAAAACACUGGUGGAUGGGCUUAUGGCGCAUUAGUUAGUUGGUGAGGUAACGGCCCACCAAGACGAUGAUGCGUAGCCGGCCUGAGAGGGUGAACGGCCACAUUGGGACUGAGACACGGCCCAGACUCCUACGGGAGGCAGCAGUAGGGAAUUUUCGGCAAUGGGGGCAACCCUGACCGAGCAACGCCGCGUGAGUGAAGACGGCCUUCGGGUUGUAAAGCUCUGUUGUAAGGGAAGAACGGUAGAUAGAGAAUAUCUAAGUGACGGUACCUUACCAGAAAGCCACGGCUAACUACGUGCCAGCAGCCGCGGUAAUACGUAGGUGGCGAGCGUUAUCCGGAAUUAUUGGGCGUAAAGGGUGCGUAGGCGGCCUGUUAAGUAAGUGGUUAAAUUGUUGGGCUCAACCCAAUCCAGCCACUUAAACUGGCAGGCUAGAGUAUUGGAGAGGCAAGUGGAAUUCCAUGUGUAGCGGUAAAAUGCGUAGAUAUAUGGAGGAACACCAGUGGCGAAGGCGGCUUGCUAGCCAAAGACUGACGCUCAUGCACGAAAGCGUGGGGAGCAAAUAGGAUUAGAUACCCUAGUAGUCCACGCCGUAAACGAUGAAUACUAAGUAUUGGGGAAACUCAGUGCUGCACUAACGCAAUAAGUAUUCCGCCUGUGGAGUAUGCACGCAAGUGUGAAACAUAAAGGAAUUGACGGGGGCCCGCACAAGCGGUGGAGUAUGU